RNAcentral lists this long non-coding RNA (864 nucleotides) under Lepisosteus oculatus (spotted gar). Its description in RNAcentral is "lncRNA (ENSLOCG00000022300.1)". Lineage: Eukaryota; Metazoa; Chordata; Actinopteri; Semionotiformes; Lepisosteidae. The record is from RNAcentral.
AUGUGCUUCCAGCAGCGCCUCUCUCGCCCUCCCUCCAUUCCGCUGUGUCACCAGAGGAAGUGCCCCCCGGGCCUGGGCCCCUGCAGGCCGGACAGAGCCGGGUCAUCGCCCAGGCGGCACAGGGCUGUGUGCUGUUCUCAGUGUCCGAGAGGCUUGUGCUGUGGGGCAGAUUCAAACAGCAGCCCUGGCCUGAUCAUCAGCCUGAGCCCAGGACUGACCUGCUACCCCAGGAGAGAGACGGAGAAGGAGACAUGGAGCACGAGGGGAAAGAGGGAACUGCAUGAGAGGGAGAGAAACAAAGACUGAGGGAAAGGAGCUGGCAGAGAGAGAGGGGGGAAGAGACCCCAGCCAGCCCUCCAUCUGUCCCUGUGUUCACGGGACUAAAGCUCUCUCUCUUCCAGACAGAGAGGCUUCUCAACAGCACCCAAACAAAGACAACUUGAACCGCAGAAGAAAAACCUCCUCGCACUAAAAAGGAAACAUUUAUAAAAUAUCUAUAAAAGCAUGGUACCCAAGGCAGUAAUGACAAUAAUUACAGCAAUGACUCACACAACCCUCCACAACACGCCAGACCAGGCUGCACUGACCAGACGCUCGCUGUUCCUCUCCGCUACACUUGUGCCUGGUGUUGUGUCAUGGGGCAUCGGCACAAUUAAAAGGCUGCUCAUUUUAAUAUGGCAGGGCUCUGCAAUAACUCUAAGAUUAAACAAAACAAAUGAGGUUUAAACUCAUGUCUUUCAGGCGCGUGUCAGCCAGGCCCCCCACAGCGCCAAUACAGAUUAACUGUCAGCCUGAUUUGAAUGGCAAAUCUCACCACUCAGCCCUGCAGGAGUCACAGAGAGAGAGACAGGCCUGCUGGCUGUA